This 468-nucleotide ribosomal RNA is filed under the name uncultured bacterium. RNAcentral's name for it is "partial 16S ribosomal RNA". It matches the Rfam family "Bacterial small subunit ribosomal RNA", at positions 28 to 507 of the family's 1533-position model. The record is from RNAcentral.
GACGAACGCUGGCGGCGUGCUUAACACAUGCAAGUCGAACGGAAAGGCCCUGCUUUUGUGGGGUGCUCGAGUGGCGAACGGGUGAGUAACACGUGAGUAACCUGCCCUUUACUUUGGGAUAACUUCAGGAAACUGGGGCUAAUACCGGAUAGGAGCUCCUGCUGCAUGGUGGGGUUUGGAAAGUUUCGGCGGUUGGGGAUGGACUCGCGGCUUAUCAGCUUGUUGGUGGGGUAGUGGCUUACCAAGGCUUUGACGGGUAGCCGGCCUGAGAGGGUGACCGGCCACAUUGGGACUGAGAGACGGCCCAGAGUCCUACGGGAGGCAGCAGUGGAGAAUAUUGCACAAUGGGCGGAAGCCUGAUGCAGCAACGCCGCGUGCGGGAUGACGGCCUUCGGGUUGUAAACCGCUUUCGCCUGUGACGAAGCGUGAGUGACGGUAAUGGGUAAAGAAGCACCGGCUAACUACGUG